This 397-nucleotide ribosomal RNA is filed under the name Crematogaster ampullaris. Its description in RNAcentral is "partial 12S ribosomal RNA". The record is from RNAcentral. Lineage: Eukaryota; Metazoa; Arthropoda; Insecta; Hymenoptera; Formicidae.
UUAUUAAAAUUUGGGAAUUGAUACCCUAUUAUUCUAAAAUAAGGUUAAGGUAUUGGAGAUUAAAUGUAAAUCAUUAAAUUUAAAUAAUUUGGCGGUAUUUUAAAAAGUUAGAGGAAUCUGUCGAGUAAAUGAUAGUCCACGAUAGGAGUGUCCUGAUAUAUUUUUAUAUAUUGUUGUUUGAAUAUUAGUUUAUAAGAAUUUAAUAGAAAGUUAGGAUUAUAGAAUAAUUCAAAUCAAAAUGUAGAGUUGUUAGGUUUAGAUGGAUUACAAUUUAAUUUAAUAUUAGGGCUAGAAUUUUAAUUAUUAUAGUAAAAGAGGAUUUAGUAGUAAAUUUAUAGAAUAAUAUAAUUUGAAUUUUAUAUAAGAUAUGUACAAAUUGCCGUUCAUUUUUCAAUAA